AAAAUAUUUAAUUUUAUAUUAUUAUCAUAAAAAAGAAUUCAUACAAGAUAUGAAUAUAGUCAAAAUUCAACAACUGCUCUAUCUAUACUAUUAUGCCUUACAAAAAUACUAAACAUAUUAAAUAUGCAACUAGCUAGCCAUCUGGUACAACUUUUCUUGUGAAUUCACAAGCCUCUUCAACUCAACGUACGACUCAUUUAAUCCACCACAAACCUGCCACAAAAUCAUAUAAAGAGCCAACCAAGAAUCACAAUGUAGAGCAUCAUGAUAAACACUUGAAAAGCAUAUUAAAGUAAUUGGUAAAAUGGACAAAACCUAUCAAGUUACUAAGCACUAAAAACUUCUCCAUUUCACAUUUUUUAGGAAAUAUUACUAAUCACUAAAAUUGAUGCAAGAACAAGCAUAUGAUUUUUGGUCCAAGGUAAAAAAAAAUACCAACAUAAUAGUGACCUUACAUACCUCAAGAUGCACUCGAAAAUAAUGCAAGUCUCCUCCAAUUAUCCUAAAUGGCUCCCCAUCUCUCCAAAACAUGUCUCUGCAAUCUCAAACUUAUGUGUGUAUCCCUAUAAAUAGUAAAAAAACAUAGUAAAUAGUAAAAAAACACAAAUACACAUAAAUAUAUGCAUAUAGAUAAAGAGAUAGCAGAAGAGAAAUGAAGAAUGAACCUUUCAACUGGAACUUGAAUUUCAAGUUGCUCACCACCACUAGCAGCCUGAGCAGUGCUGAAUCCUCGAGCAACAAGUGAGGGUGAACCUCCAGCAUCAGCCUAAUAAUACACGAUCAGUUUCAAAUUUAGGUCUUAGAGCACAGGAAUACAAGACAUGACUUUCAAAAUUUCUCGAGAAUUUCACAUCCCCUACAUAUCAACCACAAAGACUGUUUCGUUAAUUUUCAAAGUUUAAGACACACCACUGUAUCAAGUAAGUCAUCUUUUCAUAUUAAUUAAUCCAUGGAAGGACAUGCACGAUUUAGAAGCCAAACUGGCUAACAGACCUAGAUUCUUUAGCAAUAUAUGCAACAAUGGUAUGAAAGUAAACAAUUCUCAACUUUAAAAUGCAAAGGCUCUUAGGCAAUUUUCACUCCCAACUGGAUACUUGAACCGAUUCCACAACCAAUAACUAAAAUUUAAAGAAUACAAAGUAUAUAGCCACACACAUUGAAGCUCCAAACAUCUCUACGCCAACCACUUUCUACAAAUGACUGCAGUGUGAUGAAUAUCUUACCAUCUUUAUGUAAACAACUCAAAUUAUGUCAAAUAAUGAGCUCCAUAGCCUAAACAUAUCUUAUUUAAGUCCAAACAUUACAUGUCCUUUUGCAAUACUCUGUUUUUUAAUAAGAGAACUCAAUUAAAAGAACUAAACAUCCCUUGCAAAAUAUCAAGUAUAGAGUAGACAAUAAUCAAAACACUGAUUUCUACCACUGAAUACCAAAAUAUUUGAGCUAAUGAUUUUCCAUAAACAUGUUUAUUCCUGAGGUCAUGGAGCAAGAAUCAGUAUUAACUGAGAAAGAAGCCUGAAAAUACACACCUGGAGUUUUUCCAAGGUUGUUUUGGCAGCAGAUGCCUCCGGUGAUUGCACAGAGUCUUGCUCAACCUGCAUAGCAAACCACUAAUUAUAUGAAUCACUAAUUUAGGUUCACACGAAUUAUAUGAAUCACUAAUUACCUAAUUGUUUGCUCAACCUGCAUAGCAAACAUACACAAAUUCCCCCAAAACAACGAACCACAAAGAUACGCACAACGCAGCAUCACAAUAAGAAAGCAAGCAAUCGAAGACCAACUAACCCACAAUCAAAAUUAACCCCAAGUAAGCAUCACAAUGCCUCAGAUUCCAAAUAACCAAAAAUCAAAGAGUGAUAGAACGAAAUCACCUCGUUAGAGUAGAGUCAGAGCUGCAGAACACCAGA
RNAcentral lists this long non-coding RNA (1904 nucleotides) under Salvia miltiorrhiza (redroot sage). RNAcentral's name for it is "long non-coding RNA (SMIL_LNC008322)". The record is from RNAcentral. Lineage: Eukaryota; Viridiplantae; Streptophyta; Magnoliopsida; Lamiales; Lamiaceae.